This 1562-nucleotide long non-coding RNA is filed under the name Paramuricea clavata. The record is from RNAcentral. Lineage: Eukaryota; Metazoa; Cnidaria; Anthozoa; Malacalcyonacea; Plexauridae.
GAAGAGUGUCAGGCUGCGAUAUUUUGUGAAAAGAAACAGCAUGCUAUUGCUGUAUUGUUGCGAUCAUCAUUAUGACUUGUGUUUUACUAUAUCAAGUUUACCUUUUUUAAUUUAAAUUGCAUGGGACGUGCCGUCAUUUUAGCUUUAUAAAUAAUCCGUCUGAGAAAAGGAAUUGUGUUUAAUUUUAUAUUCCCAAUAGCGAGGCUCUUCUUUCUAAGUUGGAUGGCGUUAAAUCUCCGUGUAUCAUCAACGUGAAAACAAGCGCAGUAUUUAAGGUUGGUAUACUACAAUGCAUUACAGUUAUCGUGUUAUUUUAUAGUCAAAUUUCCGCUUUGUUGUUUUAUUCUUGUACUGUAAUUUUAUAAAUACACUGUACAAAAUUAUGGCGUCAUACUUGUGUUUAUAAUGCCUCUAAUUUGACCCUAUUGUGUGUGUAUAUGUACUGUGUCACUGUGAUACAUAUGUACAUGUUUUGAGUUAAACGAAUUGUUUAAUAAAUUUUUGCUGAAGUAUGAUACCUGUUUGUAUGGAUAGAUUUUUACAUAUAUGUGCACUGUGUAUAGUUUAUACAUUGGUUCUCAGAUGAGUCUGAAGGUAUAUUGUUAUUAAGUUAUUUGUAUGUAUUGUUUUGUACAUUUUGCUGAGUAUGAUGCCUGUUUGUAUCUAGUUGUGGAUGGUUGUGAGAAUAUAAUUUUAGAGGUUACAUGUUUGCUAAUUUUAGAGAUGAUAAUGUAUCAAAUAAUAAUUUUCUUGUUAUGAUUUUGUAGAAAGAGAUUUACUUGAGUGGUUGGUUGGUCUUGAGCCUGUUCAGGAUGGAUAUGAUAAUGAAAGAGGUGAUCAAGGUGAUAGGGCAGAAAGUGAUGACGUUUAAGGGAGAAGAUGAAAGUGAUGAGGAGGAAAUCGCCCACGCUGUAGCAUUCAAGUGCAUCGGUGAUGCUCGUGAGAAAAACUACCAACAUCAUUUGGAAAAUUAAAUUAAGACAUAAUACCUCACUCUUCAUGAACAAGAUAAAACAGUGAACGUAAGAAUAUGGCCAGCACCAUUGAAUCCAAGGGACCCAAGUGCAAUAGGCAAUUCCAGCUUUUAGUUUAUUUUAUUAAAAUUUUUCAGCAUAAUCAGCAAUAUGAUACCUUACUGCUGGGGAGGGGGGUUAACCCCUCCUAACCCCCCCCCCCCAGUAAAUCCGCCCAUGAUUUAAUCCAAAAAUUUUCAUAAUGAAACCUGGUGAGUGGCGACUCAAGUGGUAGGAAAAAGCAUGAGUGUAUGUUGACAGAUGUUUUUAUAUAAUAAAUAGCAAUUAGCUAUGUUUAGCAAGUUAUUAGUGCAUUUAUUUCAAUUGGCUAACUUUUUUGUUUUUUCCAGCAUUUUUAAACAAACCAUAUGUUAUAAAUGAUAUAACUGGGUAUAUCUAAUUAAACCAAUCUGUCAUGUACACUCAUGCAAAUAAAACUAAGUACAUAAAUAACAACCUUGUACGCCAGGGGAGAAAAGACCCUGGUAGAUGCUGGUCACAUGAUCUGCUAAAAUCUAGCAGACUUUUAAUUAGCAAUCCAAGAUGAGG